UCAAGCAACCUUAGAGGCGAUGGUGACACGGAGAUGGUUUGGGAGAGACAAGUUGAAGGAGUGCAUACAAAAGCCCUAUUCGCACAGGACUAGUAUUACCUGGGGACCCCAUGUGAUUUAGAAAUUACCCCCCCCCCACGUCUGUUUCGUGCGGCGCAUUCGCACGGGAUAAGCGAAGUCUGUAUUUUACUCGAAUUUGACAUUAUUCCCCCGGAUAUUACUGAAAAUGACAAGUCUCGGCUCUGCGUAACAUCCGCUUCCUGUACACUAUUUUCCUCUGCGACGAACAACAAGAGCAAUGGCUGCUAAGACAAAAAACAGGCAUUGGACGCGCGAAGAGACACUCAAUUUAAUUGCUGUGUGGGGUGAACCACGUUACCAAAAACGAUUUGACAAAAUAGUGCACAACCACCCCGUUUGGGAAAAUAUUCACAAAGACCUCUUGCUCCGGUGCCCGUCUGUACAGGACUUCGGAGAUUGGACCAAGUGUAGAGAAAAGUUGGACUACCUGUGAAGAAAGUACUGUGACAGCCUCAAAAACAAUAAGACGACCGGAUCAGACCCCAUUAAGUGUCCUUAUUGAUUAACUGGACACUGUUCUAGGUUCAUCUGGGAGCCCAGAGGCUCUGUCAAACACCUCAAGGUAAAAUGAUGCAGAUGAUGCAUCCAGUCAAGGCUCGGGCUCCAAAGCACCUUCUACACCUGCUGCUGAACCAAGGCCAGAAGGUGGGCUCUCAUGAUUAAUAAUGUUCUUGUCAAUUCAGUAAGAAUCAGUUUAUAAAGGAGAACACCUGGCAUUGUCCCUGCACAAGGUCACGGAGGUCAUGCCCUCACAAAUAUAUUGCGAAGUGGCACCUGUUUCAGGAAAAUCCAGAUAUCUUCAAGCGGGUGAGAUGGACAGAGGCAGUGUUGCACACAGAGGAUGUAGUAACCGCAGCUCUGGACAGCAGGAAGAGUGAUCAAACAAUCUAUCCUCCCAAAGGUGAGAUGAUGAAAAGAAUGGUGGAAUAUACAUUCAACCACAAGAAGCUGCCGGCAACAUUAUCCAAGGAACUUGGGAGGCAGAUUAAUGAUUACCCGAAAUCCUUGAUUCCUCCUGAGGCCCUGUGCUCAGUCUGACCUGGAACAGUGCCCCUGAGUGACCCCAUUCUCAUAACUUCCAAAGCCAAAAUUGUGACUAUUGAUGCCAUUAUUGAAGACAGUCAUCCAGAUCUUGCAGAAGCUGGAGGGGUUCCGCAGGUUCCGGGCUGGAGUGAUUGUAGGUUUACAAUAGGCCUACAUACUGAAGAUAAUAUAAAAAUAGGGUCUAGGUUGAAAAUAACCAGUAAUAAUUUAAAACGGCUAAGAAUCGUCUAGUUAAAUGUCAAAUGAUGUUUAGUUAACCUUAGAAUAUUCAACACAGUCAUCUUUGUUCUGCAGGGGUUUUUGUGAUACAGUGGUUGCAGCAGCUUCCCCCCCAGAAUGUCUGAAUCAGCUUGAUUCAAUAAACUUUUAUAACACUUUUACCCUUUUGUCCUUUUACAUUA
Anguilla anguilla (European eel) is the source of this 1526-nucleotide long non-coding RNA. RefSeq lists it as uncharacterized. The record is from RefSeq and is a predicted model, not a curated record. The transcript has 3 exons. NCBI's taxonomy places the organism in Eukaryota, Metazoa, Chordata, Actinopteri, Anguilliformes, Anguillidae.